GACGAACGCUGGCGGCGUGCUUAACACAUGCAAGUCGAACGGAAAGGCCCUGCUUUUGUGGGGUGCUCGAGUGGCGAACGGGUGAGUAACACGUGAGUAACCUGCCCUUGACUUUGGGAUAACUUCAGGAAACCGGGGCUAAUACCGGAUAGGAGCUCCUGCUGCAUGGUGGGGGUUGGAAAGUUUCGGCGGUUGGGGAUGGACUCGCGGCUUAUCAGCUUGUUGGUGGGGUAGUGGCUUACCAAGGCUUUGACGGGUAGCCGGCCUGAGAGGGUGACCGGCCACAUUGGGACUGAGACACGGCCCAGACUCCUACGGGAGGCAGCAGUGGGGAAUAUUGCACAAUGGGCGGAAGCCUGAUGCAGCAACGCCGCGUGCGGGAUGACGGCCUUCGGGUUGUAAACCGCUUUCGCCUGUGACGAAGCGUGAGUGACGGUAAUGGGUAAAGAAGCACCGGCUAACUACGUGCCAGCAGCCGCGGUGAUACGUAGGGUGCGAGCGUUGUCCGGAUUUAUUGGGCGUAAAGGGCUCGUAGGUGGUUGAUCGCGUCGGAAGUGUAAUCUUGGGGCUUAACCCUGAGCGUGCUUUCGAUACGGGUUGACUUGAGGAAGGUAGGGGAGAAUGGAAUUCCUGGUGGAGCGGUGGAAUGCGCAGAUAUCAGGAGGAACACCAGUGGCGAAGGCGGUUCUCUGGGCCUUUCCUGACGCUGAGGAGCGAAAGCGUGGGGAGCGAACAGGCUUAGAUACCCUGGUAGUCCACGCUGUAAACGGUGGGUACUAGGUGUGGGGUCCAUUCCACGGGUUCCGUGCCGUAGCUAGCGCUUUAAGUACCCCGCCUGGGGAGUGCGGCCGCAAGGCUAAAACUCAAAGGAAUUGACGGGGCCCCGCACAAGCGGCGGAGCAUGCGGAUUAAUUCGAUGCAACGCGUAGAACCUUACCUGGGUUUGACAUGGAUCGGGAGUGCUCAGAGAUGGGUGUGCCUCUUUUGGGGUCGGUUCACAGGUGGUGCAUGGCUGUCGUCAGCUCGUGUCGUGAGAUGUUGGGUUAAGUCCCGCAACGAGCGCAACCCUUGUUCACUGUUGCCAGCACGUUAUGGUGGGGACUCAGUGGAGACCGCCGGGGUCAACUCGGAGGAAGGUGGGGAUGACGUCAAGUCAUCAUGCCCCUUAUGUCCAGGGCUUCACGCAUGCUACAAUGGCUGGUACAGAGAGUGGCGAGCCUGUGAGGGUGAGCGAAUCUCGGAAAGCCGGUCUCAGUUCGGAUUGGGGUCUGCAACUCGACCUCAUGAAGUCGGAGUCGCUAGUAAUCGCAGAUCAGCAACGCUGCGGUGAAUACGUUCCCGGGGCU
Molecule: ribosomal RNA, 1346 nt
Filed under: uncultured bacterium
Lineage: Bacteria
Description: partial 16S ribosomal RNA
Rfam family: Bacterial small subunit ribosomal RNA
Source: RNAcentral